UCAAGCUACAAAGGGCGCAUGGUGAAUGCCUUGGCAUCAGGAGCCGAUGAAGGACGUGAUAAGCUGCGAUAAGCUUCGGGUAGGCGCACAUAGCCUGAGAUCCGAAGAUCUCCGAAUGAGGAAACUCACAUGGGAAACCCCAUGUAUCAUUAAGUGAAUACAUAGCUUAAUGAAGGUAACCCAGGGAACUGAAACAUCUAAGUACCUGGAGGAAGAGAAAGAAAAAUCGAUUUUCUUAGUAGCGGCGAGCGAAAGGGAAAGAGCCCAAACCGGAAACUUGUUUCCGGGGUUGUGGACAUAGCAUAAAAGUGGAGGCUAUUGUAACUGAAGAGAACUGGAAAGUUCCACCGUAGAAGGUAAUAGUCCUGUAAGUGAAACGAGAAGACCACGAGUUAUGAUCCAGAGUACCACGAGACACGUGAAACCUUGUGGGAAGCAGGGAGGACCACCUCCCAAGGCUAAAUACUACCUGAUGACCGAUAGUGAAGCAGUACCGUGAGGGAAAGGUGAAAAGAACCCCGGGAGGGGAGUGAAAUAGAACCUGAAACCGUGUGCCUACAACCGCUCAGAGCCCCUUAUGAGGGUGAUGAGGUGCUUUUUGUAGAACGAGCCAACGAGUUACGGUAUGUAGCAAGGUUAAGUACUUAAGGUACGGAGCCGAAGGGAAACCGAGUCUGAAUAGGGCGACUAGUUGCAUGCCGUAGACCCGAAACCGGGUGACCUAUCCAUGGCCAGGUUGAAGCGAGGGUAAAACCUCGUGGAGGACCGAACCACGUUGCUGUUGAAAAAGCAUGGGAUGAGCUGUGGAUAGCGGAGAAAUUCCAAUCGAACCCGGAGAUAGCUGGUUCUCUCCGAAAUAGCUUUAGGGCUAGCGUCGAGUAUGAGUAGUGGAGGUAGAGCACUGAAUGGGCUAGGGGGCAUAGCGCUUACCGAACCUUAUCAAACUCCGAAUGCCACAUACUUUGAGCUCGGCAGUCAGACUACGAAUGAUAAGAUCCGUGGUCAAAAGGGAAACAGCCCAGAUCGUCAGCUAAGGUCCCAAAGUGUAAGUUAAGUGGGAAAGGAUGUGAGAUUUCUAAGACAACUAGGAUGUUGGCUUAGAAGCAGCCAUUCAUUAAAAGAGUGCGUAAUAGCUCACUAGUCGAGAGAUCUUGCGCCGAAAAUGUAACGGGGCUAAACUUACCACCGAAGCUACGGGCUUGAACUUAGUUCAAGCGGUAGGAGAGCGUCGUAACCGGGCUGAAGUCGUACCGUAAGGAGCGGUGGACUGGUUACGAGUGAGAAUGUUGGCAUCAGUAGCGAGAUGUGGGUGAGAAUCCCACAGGCCGAAAACCUAAGGUUUCCUCAGGAAGGUUCGUCCGCUGAGGGUUAGUCGGGACCUAAGCCGAGGCCGAAAGGCGUAGGUGAUGGACAACUGGUUGAUAUUCCAGUACCACUACCAUCGUUAUUAUCGAUGGCGUGACGCAGGAGGAUAGUGUGUGCUAGCUAUUGGAUGCUAGUCUAAGCGUUUAGGCAGUGAGAGUAGGCAAAUCCGCUCUCAUAAUGCUGAGGCGUGAUGGGGAAGGUUCCACGGAACCGAAGUACAUGAUUCCACGCUGCCAAGAAAAGCGUCUAGAGAGAGAAGUAGUGCCCGUACCGCAAACCGACACAGGUAGGUGAGGAGAGAAUCCUAAGGCCGGCGGAAGAAUUACAGUUAAGGAACUCGGCAAAUUGACCCCGUAAGUUCGCGAGAAGGGGUGCCUACGAGAGUAGGCCGCAGAGAAUAGGCCCAAGCAACUGUUUAGCAAAAACACAGGUCUCUGCUAAAGCGUAAGCUGAUGUAUAGGGGCUGACGCCUGCCCGGUGCUGGAAGGUUAAGGGGAACACUUAGCGCAAGCGAAGGUGUGAACUUAAGCCCCAGUAAACGGCGGCCGUAACUAUAACGGUCCUAAGGUAGCGAAAUUCCUUGUCAGGUAAGUUCUGACCCGCACGAAUGGCGUAAUGACUUGGGCACUGUCUCAACUGUAAAUCCGGCGAAGUUGUAGUGCGAGUGAAGAUGCUCGCUACCCGCGAUUGGACGGAAAGACCCCGUAGAGCUUUACUGUAGCUUAGCAUUGAGUUUUGGUAUUGUCUGUACAGGAUAGGUGGGAGACUAGGAAACCAGGGCGUCAGCCUUAGUGGAGUCAACCUUGGGAUACCACCCUGACAGUACUGAAAUUCUAACUGGCGGCCAUGAAUCUGGUCACAGGACAUUGUUAGGUGGGCAGUUUGACUGGGGCGGUCGCCUCCUAAAAAGUAACGGAGGCGCCCAAAGGUUCCCUCAGAACGGUCGGAAAUCGUUCGAAGAGUGCAAAGGCAGAAGGGAGCCUGACUGCGACACCCACAAGUGGAGCAGGGACGAAAGUCGGGCUUAGUGAUCCGGUGGUACCUCGUGGGAGGGCCAUCGCUCAACGGAUAAAAGCUACCUCGGGGAUAACAGGCUGAUCUCCCCCAAGAGUCCACAUCGACGGGGAGGUUUGGCACCUCGAUGUCGGCUCGUCGCAUCCUGGGGCUGAAGUAGGUCCCAAGGGUUGGGCUGUUCGCCCAUUAAAGCGGCACGCGAGCUGGGUUCAGAACGUCGUGAGACAGUUCGGUCCCUAUCCGUCGCGGGCGUAGGAAAUUUGAGAGGAGCUGUCCUUAGUACGAGAGGACCGGGAUGGACUGACCUCUGGUGUACCAGUUGUUCCGCCAGGAGCACAGCUGGGUAGCUAAGUCGGGAAUGGAUAAACGCUGAAAGCAUCUAAGCGUGAAGCCAACCUCAAGAUGAGAUUUCCCAUAGCAUAAGCUAGUAAGAUCCCUUGAAGAACACAAGGUUGAUAGGUCGGGGGUGUAAGCAUGGUAACAUGUUCAGCUGACCGAUACUAAUAGAUCGAGGGCUUGACCAA
This 2903-nucleotide ribosomal RNA is filed under the name Clostridium perfringens. Its description in RNAcentral is "bacterial LSU rRNA". It matches the Rfam family "Bacterial large subunit ribosomal RNA". Lineage: Bacteria; Bacillati; Bacillota; Clostridia; Eubacteriales; Clostridiaceae. The record is from RNAcentral.